GAGGGGUCCCACCCGUUCCCAUUCCGCACACGGAAGUUAAGCCCUCUAGCGCCGAUGGUACUGCACUGUAGUGGUGUGGGAGAGUAGGUCGUCGCCAGGC
RNAcentral lists this ribosomal RNA (100 nucleotides) under Spirochaetaceae bacterium. Lineage: Bacteria; Pseudomonadati; Spirochaetota; Spirochaetia; Spirochaetales; Spirochaetaceae. The record is from RNAcentral.